UCCCCGGUUCCGGAUCCCGGCCCAGCCGGGACAGCAGCCCCUCCUGCGUGUCCCCCGAGACCCUGCCUCCCACCCCGGCCUGCCUCUCUGCUUUUACCGGAGGCUCCGGUGCCGUUCGGACAGCCCCAGGCGUUACCCAAGAGGUCGCAGGGGCCACUCCAGCAGCUGUCACCGACCCGGCCCGACAGCCAGCGAGGGACUCGCCUGGCGACGAGCAUUUGGGGAAUUUCUCUUGUGUCUCCUGGACGAGUUAUUUAUAGGAAUCUCCAAAUCCAUCCCCUCCAGCUGCCCGUGGGCUGCACGCUGACCCCCUCCCGAACACGAAUUCCUCAGCAUGCGGGGGGCAGGACACGCACCCGUGCCUGCUCUGUCCCCUCCUAGCUCCCAGAGCUCAGCAGACUGCUGAAAAUACUCUUUAGCCUCUGAAAAGGUUGAGCGUGACACAGGAAUCCCACAGGUGAGCUCCCACCUCAGCCCAAACCUGACGCUGCUCCUGGCAGGGGUAGGAGCUGUGGAUUUGGGGUUUGGACACCAGAAUGAGUUUGUUAUUUUCUUGAAGUCUGACAGACUGCAAGUAUGACUCAAUUUAGUUCUCCUCCAGCCUCGAUGCAGUACUGGGAACACGGACAGUGGGACAGGAUCUGUCCCUGCUGCCUUAGGGAGGCAGAGCACAGCAGAACAGCCCCAGGAUCAGCUGCUGUCAGGCCAAACCCAGACCAGUCCCACCAGUUCCAUAACUUACAAGGAAACAGAUAAGCUACAGAGAGCUGCGAGUCCUGGAGUAUUUACACCGAGGAGGGCAGGAACAGGA
Catharus ustulatus (Swainson's thrush) is the source of this 811-nucleotide long non-coding RNA. RefSeq lists it as uncharacterized. The transcript has 3 exons. The record is from RefSeq and is a predicted model, not a curated record. Lineage: Eukaryota; Metazoa; Chordata; Aves; Passeriformes; Turdidae.